ACUCCUACGGGAGGCAGCAGUGGGGAAUUUUGCGCAAUGGGGGAAACCCUGACGCAGCGAUGCCGCGUGGAGGACGAAGGUCUUCGGAUUGUAAACUCCUUUUGCGGGGGAAAAAUGGCGGCGUGAAUAACGUCGUUCGAUGGUACUCCGCGAAUAAGCCACGGCUAACUUCGUGCCAGCAGCCGCGGUAAGACGAAGGUGGCAAGCGUUACUCGGAAUUACUAGGCGUAAAGCGCGAGCAGGCGGUUCGGUAAGUCUGUUGUGAAAGCCCCGGGCUCAACCCGGGGAGGUCAAUGGAUACUGCCGGACUUGAAUACGGGAGAGGUCGCUGGAAUUCCUGGUGUAGCGGUGAAAUGCGUAGAUAUCAGGAGGAACACCAAAGGCGAAGGCAGGUGACUGGACCGUUAUUGACGCUGAGUCGCGAAAGCCGGGGGAGCAAACAGGAUUAGAUACCCUGGUAGUCCCGGCUGUAAACGAUGUUCACUAGGUGUGGGAGGUAUCAACCCCUUCCGCGCCGACGCUAACGCAUUAAGUGAACCGCCUGGGAAGUACGGCCGCAAGGUUGAAACUCAAAGGAAUUGACGG
This 585-nucleotide ribosomal RNA is filed under the name uncultured Elusimicrobia bacterium. RNAcentral's name for it is "bacterial SSU rRNA". It matches the Rfam family "Bacterial small subunit ribosomal RNA", at positions 335 to 916 of the family's 1533-position model. The record is from RNAcentral. Lineage: Bacteria; Pseudomonadati; Elusimicrobiota; Elusimicrobia.